AUGAACGCUGGCUACAGGCUUAACACAUGCCAGUCGAGGGGAAACGACGGGGAAGCUUGCUUCCCCGGGCGUCGACCGGCGCACGGGUGAGUAACGCGUAUCCAACCUGCCUCUGACUGAGGGAUAACCCGUCGAAAGUCGGCCUAAUACCUCAUGGCAUCGUCUGCGGGCAUCCAACGACGAUUAAAGAUUUCAUCGGUCAGGGAUGGGGAUGCGUCUGAUUAGCUUGUUGGCGGGGUAACGGCCCACCAAGGCUACGAUCAGUAGGGGUUCUGAGAGGAAGGUCCCCCACAUUGGAACUGAGACACGGUCCAAACUCCUACGGGAGGCAGCAGUGAGGAAUAUUGGUCAAUGGGCGGGAGCCUGAACCAGCCAAGUAGCGUGCAGGAUGACGGCCCUAUGGGUUGUAAACUGCUUUUAGGCGGGGAUAAAGUGAGGGACGUGUCCUUCAUUGCAGGUACCGCAUGAAUAAGGACCGGCUAAUUCCGUG
RNAcentral lists this ribosomal RNA (490 nucleotides) under uncultured bacterium. RNAcentral's name for it is "partial 16S ribosomal RNA". It matches the Rfam family "Bacterial small subunit ribosomal RNA", at positions 29 to 507 of the family's 1533-position model. The record is from RNAcentral.